AUGGUCGGCCGCCUGGCCAAAAGGAGGUUACUGCAUCCGGCUGCUUUCCCCUUCUGUGACCGAGUUGAGGAGUCAAUUCAGCACAUCCUUGUGCGGUGUGUCUUUGCCCUGCAGGUCUGGUCUUGUAUUCUCCAAAGACUAGGCCUAAUUGCUAUUGCUCCACAACCCACCACUGGCUGGUUCUCAAGCUGGUGGUGCCAAGUUCUCAAUCAAGUUCCCAAAGAACUCCGAAAAGGGCUUAACUGCCUCAUUAUCUUGGUAGCGUGGGACAUAUGGAAGCAUCGGAACAAUUGCGUUUUCAGUGAUGCUAGGCAAAAUGUUUUCAUGGGUUGCUGA
Molecule: ribosomal RNA, 336 nt
Filed under: Triticum aestivum (bread wheat)
Lineage: Eukaryota; Viridiplantae; Streptophyta; Magnoliopsida; Poales; Poaceae
Description: partial small subunit ribosomal RNA
Source: RNAcentral